Molecule: ribosomal RNA, 330 nt
Filed under: uncultured bacterium
Lineage: Bacteria
Description: bacterial SSU rRNA
Rfam family: Bacterial small subunit ribosomal RNA
Source: RNAcentral
UCCGUAGGCGGUGUGGCAAGUCGGAAGUGAAAUCUCUGGGCUUAACCCAGAGGCUGCUUCCGAAACUGCCGUGCUAGAGUGUGAGAGAGGCGAGUGGAAUUGCGGGUGUAGCGGUGAAAUGCGUAGAUAUCCGCAGGAACAUCCGAGGCGAAAGCGGCUCGCUGGAUCACAACUGACGCUGAGGGACGAAAGCUAGGGGAGCAAACAGGAUUAGAUACCCUGGUAGUCCCAGCCCUAAACCAUCAGGACUUGGGGUUUGCCCUGUACGGGGCAAGUCCCGUAGCUAACGCGUUAAGUCCUGCGCCUGGGGAGUACGGUCGCAAGGCUGAA